AUUGAACGCUGGCGGCAUGCCUAACACAUGCAAGUCGAACGGAGGUAGGGGCAACUCUACUUCAGUGGCGGACGGGUGAGGAAUGCGUCGGAAUCUACCCUAUGAUGGGGGAUAACACAGGGAAACUUGUGCUAAUACCGCAUGAUGUCGAGAGACCAAAGCAGGGGACCGCAAGGCCUUGCGCGAUAGGAUGAGCCGACGCCCGAUUAGCUAGUUGGUAGGGUAAAGGCCUACCAAGGCGACGAUCGGUAGCUGGUCUGAGAGGAUGAUCAGCCACACGGGUACUGAGACACGGACCCGACUCCUACGGGAGGCAGCAGUAAGGAAUAUUGGUCAAUGGAGGAAACUCUGAACCAGCUAUCCCGCGUGAAGGAUGAAGGGGCUCUGCCUUGUAAACUUCUUUUGUCUGGGGCGAAAAAGACUCGUUUACGAGUAACUGACGGUACCAGAAGAAUAAGCACCGGCUAACUCCGUGCCAGCAGCCGCGGUAAAUGACGUC
RNAcentral lists this ribosomal RNA (499 nucleotides) under uncultured bacterium. RNAcentral's name for it is "bacterial SSU rRNA". It matches the Rfam family "Bacterial small subunit ribosomal RNA", at positions 30 to 529 of the family's 1533-position model. The record is from RNAcentral.